UGGACCUUCAAGAGCCAGGCCAGGGGGAGAGGCUGCCUGAGAAGGGGGCCAACAGAGGGGAAGGCUGUGCCACGGAUGGGGAGACAAGCGGCUGGGACCUCGUACCAACGUCCUUUAGGAUGGAACAUUCUUCUGCUGGCCUACCUCAGGCCCACCGGCCCCAGAAUCUCCUCAUCACCAAGGCUGGGUGUCAUGUGUCGUUGAUUAUUGGAUUUGCCCUUUUUAUGAUGCUUGGACUGCUUAGCUCGUUGACGGCCUGGUACUGUCCCUGGUUGUGACACCAACCACAUGGUGACAGAGGGCACAGGCCUUGUCCUUGAGAACCCACAGCUGGGAAAGAGACAUAUGAGGAGAUGGUUACAGUACAGGACAAGAAAGAUCACAGAGAAAGAACGGAUAGCUGUGGGAUCACAGGUCUGAGUGACCGGCUGGCCUCCUUCCCGGGACGUCUCUGUCUCAGAGCUCCCUCCUUAAGCAUCUUCGUCCAGAAGCCUCUGAGCCACUGCCAUCCUUCAUUCCUCUCUCUGUCCGUCCUCAACUCCGAGCUGGCAGCAUAGCCUUCAGAACAGACUCAGCGUUGGUCUGCUUCUCAACAUUUCCACCUCUACCGCCGUGGCCCUGCCACCUUUGCCUUCAGUGCGUCUUACAGGUGCCUCGUCAUGGGUCUUCUGUUCCUCUCUUUUCAUCUCUCCCAGAGUAAAAGCCAGUGACAUUACAAGAAGUUAUGAACUGAAUGUUUGUGUCUCCCCAAAUUCAUUAUGUUG
This is a long non-coding RNA of Rhinolophus ferrumequinum (greater horseshoe bat), 764 nucleotides long. RefSeq lists it as uncharacterized. The record is from RefSeq and is a predicted model, not a curated record. NCBI's taxonomy places the organism in Eukaryota, Metazoa, Chordata, Mammalia, Chiroptera, Rhinolophidae. The transcript has 3 exons.